This 501-nucleotide ribosomal RNA is filed under the name uncultured bacterium. RNAcentral describes it as "partial 16S ribosomal RNA". It matches the Rfam family "Bacterial small subunit ribosomal RNA", at positions 30 to 523 of the family's 1533-position model. The record is from RNAcentral.
AUUGAACGCUGGCGGCAUGCCUUACACAUGCAAGUCGAACGGCAGCACGGGUGCUUGCACCUGGUGGCGAGUGGCGAACGGGUGAGUAAUACAUCGGAACGUACCUUAUCGUGGGGGAUAACGCAGCGAAAGCUGUGCUAAUACCGCAUACGCCCUGAGGGGGAAAGCGGGGGAUCGAAAGACCUCGCGCGAUUAGAGCGGCCGAUGCCUGAUUAGCUUGUUGGUGGGGUAAAAGCCCACCAAGGCGACGAUCAGUAGCUGGUCUGAGAGGACGAUGAGCCACACUGGGACUUGGACACGGCCCAGACUCCUACGGGAGGCAGCAGUGGGGAAUUUUGGACAAUGGGGGCAACCCUGAUCCAGCAAUGCCGCGUGAGUGAAGAAGGCCUUCGGGUUGUAAAGCUCUUUUGUCAGGGAAGAAACACCGGCUCUAACACAGUCCGGGAAUGACGGUACCUGAAGAAUAAGCACCGGCUAACUACGUGCCAGCCGCCGCCGUAA